Hylaeus volcanicus is the source of this 5458-nucleotide RNA transcript. It is a transcript of the gene named ubiquitin carboxyl-terminal hydrolase 2-like, with no coding region annotated. The transcript has 7 exons. The record is from RefSeq and is a predicted model, not a curated record. Lineage: Eukaryota; Metazoa; Arthropoda; Insecta; Hymenoptera; Colletidae.
UUUAUCUUUUUGUCAUUUUAUUGAUUUCAUUUUUAAUAAUAGUAUUGGUUAUUAAAAAAAGCUAGACACAUGAAUACGUAUUCUUAAAUAUGUAUAAAUAACAUAAAAGUAACCUUUAUAGUUAUAAAUUUUAUAAACUUUAAAUGUGAGAUCAAUGAGCGACCACUUUGCAUGCUGCGUAAGUGCAAAUGUGUUUAAAAAAUUUCAUACAUAUGUGUGCCGAAUGGCGGAAUACGCAAGCGCACUAUGCACAUAUAGCACAUGGUGCUGGGCAGUAUUAAGUUAACAUAACUAAACAUAACCUGGAUACAAUAAACCUGACGGUGUCUGACGAUAAAUUAACCAUUCAUAAAUGUGAUAAGUUUUCUGGAAAUAGAUAAUCUUUUUAAAGAAAUUGCUAAGAUGACGUUGAAAAAUUUUCCAAGAGGUGGAAAGAAACUUAAAGAGAAGAAGACUUCAGAUACGCUAUUUCAAAAGUAUGAAAAAGUUAAAAAAAAGAAUCGUGAGAAGGAGAAGACAACAAAGAAGAACGAAGAAGAAGAGAACUUUGUUGCUAACACUGCAGAACGAUUGACGUAUGCAACGAUAUCCGAGGGUUUGGUAGUACUGGGAUGUAUUUUUGAAGUAACGGAAUACGAUUUGAUAGUAUCAUUGCCAGGUGGUAUAGUAGGUCGCGUUCAAGUUACGGAUAUUAGCGACUCGUACACAAAUUUGUUACAAAGCAUAAUCAAAUCUGAAAAUGAUCAGCCAAAUGAAUUUAAACCAUUACCUGAACUGUAUUCUCGCGGAGAUUAUGUUGUAUGUUACGUAAAGACUAUACAACAUCAAGAACAGUGGCAAAUUGUAUUAUCCCUUGAUCCUCGACUAAUAAAUCAAAAUGUGAAUAUCAAUUGUUUGGAAAGUGGCUCAAAAAUAAUAUGUACUGUUAGUAGUAUAGAGGAUCAUGGAUACAUUGUAGAUUUAGGGUUAACAAAUGUAAGAGCAUUCAUACCCACCAAAGAUAUCAAUAAUAAAAAAUGCUUAGGUCUAGGUAAGCAGCUUCUAUGUCACGUAAAGGAAAUCAAAAGAAGCGAAAACACAUCGAUCAUGAAAUUGUCUACAAAAUCAGGGUUAGUUACAGCUGUGAAUGACAUUGAAAUCAAGUCAUUGGAUAAUUUGAUGCCAGGAAUUAAAUUUGAUCUGUGUAUAAAGAAGGUCCUCAUGAAUGGUUUAUAUGUUUCAUUUGGUGAAAAUAAUAUAGGCUAUGUAAAUCAAGUUUACUUAAACGAUCCUUUGUCUAAAUAUUCAAAGGGAAUGGAAGUUACUGGGACGUUACUGUAUAUUUUACCAACUGUGAAAUUUGGAUAUUUCAGUUUAACAAUAGGUAAACCUAAGGAUAAUACUGUUAAACCAGGAGAUAUUAUAGAAGAAGCUAUUGCCUUGUUUAGAGAAUCUGGCGGAGUUGUGUUGCAGUUAAAUAAGAGUGGAACACGGGGAUUUCUUCCUUUGAAAAGAACAAACGUUGAUUUUGAUAGAAUUAUUAAGAAGUUCGAACCUGGUACCAAACAUAAAUGUAGAGUGUUAUCUUAUUGUUGGAUGGACGCUACCUACGUCUGUACAAUGGAAAAAUCAUUAAUGGAACAGAGAUAUUUCUCGCUUUCUGACUUCAGACCAGGUGACAUAGCGAAUGUAAAAAUUACAAAUAUCAACGUAGAAAACGGUUUUAUCAAUGUACAGGCUGGAAAGAUUAAGGGACAUGUUACAUCGGAGCACGUAUCUGACGUGGGUAUAAGUGCCCUAAAGAAAUUGAAAGUUGAUAAGGAAGUCGAAGCAAAAGUUUUAGCUGUCAAUAAUGCACAAAAUAAAGUGUAUUUCACUUUGAAGAAGUCAUUAAUCAAGAGUGAUUUACCCGUUCUUAGCGAUAUACGACAAGCGAAAUGUGGAUCAACGCAUCAUGGUACCAUCAUUCAAAUAAAACAGAAUGGGUUGUUACUAAAGUUUUUUGGUGAUGUCAAAGGCUGGCUUCCGCGUACCGCGUCAGCUGUAAAUUGGAAUUAUUCCAUUGGACAAACAGUUUUGGUAAAGAUUGAAUCGGUGGAUCAAAAAUCGAGGAAGAUGAUGCUAAGUAUACCUACUAAAGAAACGAAGGCAAAAGAAAACGCAUUUGUUAUUGGAGAACGCGUAGAAGGAACAAUUACAGAAUCAUCUACUCAAGGUGUGCACUUGAGAAUCAGUAAAGAUGAUGGACAGAUUGUUAGUACUGGGUUUUUACCAGCAGGUCAUAUGUCUCCUUGUAUGGAAACUGCUGUUUUAUUAGCAUCGAAAUGUAUUCCUGGCGAUACUCUAACUGCUCUGGUGUUUGCUACGAUACCAAGCUUAAUUCUGACUAGAACAUUUUUGCCUGAAGAAAAAUAUAGGAAUUUCGAACAACUAAAAAUAGGCAAUUGUAUACCUUGUUCAAUUAGAGACAUCGAACCAACUGGCGUGAGAGUUAUUUUACCAAUUGCAGGCUGCGCUCCAUUCGGAUAUGUCUCUUACAGUAAUGUCAGUCAUUUUAAUUUAUUGUACAGACAUCAAAUUUUAUUUGCAAAAAUUAUCUCUAUUAACAAAAAAGAGAAGCAAUUAGGUUUAACACUCGCGCUAAAGAAAAUUUACGAUGGAGUACCCGAUUCUAACAGUAGAAUGAUGGCAGCAGUGGAUACUUUGAGCUUGCACUUCAAUAAAUUAGCAGAACUAUCGAAAAACUCGUUUUACGAGAGUAAGCCAAUUUCUUCGGUUACGUUAGGACAAAGACUUACUGGAAAAGUCGAAAAAAUUACAUCGGACGGACUUGUGAUUCAAUUAAAAAAUAAUUUGUUAGGUAUAGUAAACAAGAAUCAUUACUCGGGAAGUUUUACUGUUGGAGAUACAGUUUCUGGAACAAUCAUGUGGAAGAAUUAUGUCCACGAACUCGUUGAAAUGACCAUGUUACCUACGAUAAUGAAAAGUAUAAGCGGGAAGCAGAACAAGCAAUUGCAGCUUCCAGCGGGAAAAGUAAUACGAGGUACAAUUUUAAUGGUGACAAACUGGUUUAUUUUAAUUGUCUUGAAAGGCCAUGGUAAAGGCUCUUUGGCAGCAAUGCCAGUUCGACGUCACAUGAACGAUAUACAGCCAGAUUUAUCACCCUUUAUCGUUCAUUCAAAAAUUAGAUGUUACAUUAUAUUGAAUGCCAACGAAUCGGAUAUUAUGCCUAUCUGUAUGGUGAAAUCUGCGUUUGAAUCAAAGUAUGACACGGUAACAAAACCAAGUAAGAACAUUUUGAAGAGAAAGGGGACACUUGAGAAAAAUGAUCAGAUGCUCGCUAAAAAGGUAAAGACAGAGAAGGUUGAGACAGAAAACGCUAUUGACUGCGAUGAAAUUUCGAACGAAAUAAAAGCGAAACAGAAAAAGGGAACAAAAAUGACGAAGAUUAAAGAGGAGGAUGUGGAAUUAAUUGAAAAUAAUGUGGAGAGUCUAAACGAUAAUGCAAAUGAGGAAAAGCCAAGAAUACCGGAGUGUGGAUUCUUUUGGGAUGACAAGCCUAAUUUAGAUCUCCUUAAGAAUAAAGACUCGUCUAGCGACAGCGAAGAUGAAACAGAACAACCAAAGCAGAAGAAGAAAAAAUUGAGCGCGGCUGAACGUCGGGAACAAGAGAGACAAAAGGAACGUGAAAUUCGUCAAAGAGAAGAGGCCUUAGCCAGUAAUCAAUUGCCAAAUUCUGUUGAUCAAUUCGAUAGAUUAGUUUUGGCAAGUCCGGAUAGUUCGAUAAUUUGGUUACAGUACAUGGCGUACCAUCUGCAAACGGCAGAAAUUGAGAAGGCAAGGGCAGUCGCAAGAAGAGCCACUAAAACGAUUAAUUUUAGAGAAGAGAAUGAGAGAUUAAACGUGUGGAAUGCCUGGUUAAAUUUUGAAUCGAAAUUCGGAACACCAGAAUCUUUAAAUGAUGUUUUCCAAGAGGCUGUGAGAACCAAUGAUUCGUUGAAGAUAUAUACUCACAUGUUAACUGUACAUAUCGAGGCUGGUAGACAAAUCGAAUUAGAAAAGAUAAUCAGCACCAUGCUGGGAAAAUUCAAGCAGAAUCCUCAAGUGUGGAUCGAGUGCGGCACAGGAUUAUUAAAAAUGGGUUUGAAAGAUAAAUCUAGACACACCAUGCAAAGAGCUUUACAAUCUUUACCAGCAUCCGAGCAUGUUAACUUGAUGGCAAAGUUCGCAAUUUUGGAAAACAAGUUUGGAGACAAAGAAAGAGCGCAGACCUUAUUCGAAGAAAUUCUGUGUUCCUAUCCUAAGCGUGUGGAUAUAUGGUCAUGUUACGUAGAUUCUUUAAUCAAAUCUAAUGAUAUUGAUAUCGCAAGAAAAGUACUGGAGCGAGCAGUUGUUCAGACACUACCACCAAGAAAGAUGAAGAGCAUAUUUAAAAAGUUCAUUAGCUUUGAAGAACAACAUGGUACCAGCGAAAAUGUUGCUCGUGUUCAACAGAUGGCUGUUGAAUAUGUAGAAAAACAAUGUAACAAGGAAUCUGGCGAAGCUAAUGUGAAUUAGAAUCAAAUGUUUUUUUAUACAUAUUCUUGUAAACGGCACAACAGUUUUUAUGGAUAGAUGAGAGAAUCUAUGAAAUAUUAUAAAUUAUAGCAAAUUUCAGUUACAAGAUUAACAUUGAAACAGAAUUAAACAUACAGAAAUAAAGCAUCUACCCAUAACGAAAUAUUUUCUUUGUGCAUUUUGAAAAAAAAAGAUAUGUAUACCCUCCGAUCGGAGGGUACCCCAUUUUCAUUUAAAUUGAACAAUUUUAAACUCGUCCCAUAAGGGUCUGCGUUAAAAUUACAAAAUUUUUAUAUAAUUUUUCAUAAAACUGGGAUAGUCAAUUUAAAUCGAAAUAGGGUCCUAUGAUUUAUAUUUAAUGAAAGAACAAUCGAGUGAAGUUUUAUUAAAAUCCUACAUCCACGGAACAACUACCGCAAUUGUAAAACAGUCAGUGUUGGCUAUCAGGUAGUUGAAAUAACGCGCGUUACUGUAACGUGGCAGCACUGGUCUGUCCGUCGUUCCACCAUAGUUGCACACUUCCACGCCACCCUAGGUAAUCGAGACUCGAGAAAUGUUCGUCUGGUCUUGUCUGCGCUAGCGCAGAAUACAGCAGAAUACGGUAGUCGGCGAAGCGAUGACUGUCAACGCGGAAAUCGGCAACCUUGUAAUCGCCAUAUUGUUUGCACGCACGUUGCGUUAGCAAAGUCGUCAAAGUGGUGAUAAUCUCGUGGUGUUACAAGUGUUCGCGGCGCGGUGUUGUCCACCGGAGAAAAAAAGGAAGUGUGUCUGCCUGGAAAUAGGUCAGUUUCGUCGUCGGCGUACAGCAAUACGGGCACCGGCGUCGGCACGGGCACGAAUGUGACAGCGAACGGCACCAGCGGCGGCACCAGCAACUCCCGAUACGGAUUGUCCACGUCGUCGUCCUCGUCCUCGAUCUCCG